Molecule: long non-coding RNA, 1107 nt
Organism: Hippocampus comes (tiger tail seahorse)
Lineage: Eukaryota; Metazoa; Chordata; Actinopteri; Syngnathiformes; Syngnathidae
Exons: 2
Source: RefSeq, a predicted model, not a curated record
UUGUGUGUGUUUGAACUCUGAAAUCCUUGACCUCGGGGACUGCUUGCAAAAUGCGGCUGUCGUCGACGGAUGGCUCUCAUGCGUGUUUACUCCUGCGAGAUGGGAGGCCGACAGGUGGGAGAGUGAGACAGGUGUCGGGCAGGGCGUGUGCAUGAGGAGGUUUCGUCUAUCAGUGCCCUGCUUGCGUCUGAGCACAGCUGAGAAUGAGCGUUCGCAACCCCCCCCACGCAAAGCAUUUCCUCCAUAGACCGCUUUUGAUUGCGAUUCCUCUACAAGACGUAACAUCCACUUCAGCGCAGGGUGACUCACCGGGGCCACAAGCCGGCGAUGAAAUUUAUUGAAAUCGCUUUGUGACGCGUGGACGAAAUCUAAAAGUAAAAGCGGACACACACACACACACACACAAAAUAAUGCAUACGUACGGUCUCAUCUCCAAAAUACUUGCUGCAAUUUGUGACCCCGGAUGAGUCGACGUGUGUUCCAGAAUCUCAUUGUCUGUACGUUGGACUUUUUCACGGGUGAGGUCACGAGGUUUCUCGUCAUCCUUCGGUUUUCACACGCACGCAUACAUAGCGGCUGCAAAUAUCAGCUAUUCUUGUCUCUUUUUCACAGCUGACUUCCAUUGCUUGCUCUCAUCAUGCGGAUCACAAAUAGAAAGGAAGUUCACGUCGAUGUCACCCAAAGCUUGUCUGCUACGUAUCGGGUCACCUGGCCGUGACACCGACAGGAAGUCACAAAGAAUAUCAAGUCAUUUCCCACCUUUUGCAGCUGGGAGCGUUUCUAGCCGUGUACAAGUGGGAUUUUUUUUUUCCCGUCCAUUCAUCCAGACGUCUAUUGCGAGGUUACGGAUGAGGGCUCCCAAUCUCUUCUGUCGCUCCUUUCGGCGGUGUUUGAUGUAGAUUUGAACGUAGCGGGCAGCUGUCGUUGUGAUUACGCGGCGUCUGGCAGCUUCUUUCUAUUAGUGUUGAUUCAGGAGGGGCUGCCAGACAAGCUCCUGAACAGCAGGGCUGUUAAGUGGACAAAUGGCCAGCGUCAAAAUACCUUAACUAUUUCGGGAACCAUUCAAUAUCCAGUUCCGUCUUCACAAUUAAACAUCCAUGAAAUAUA